ACUCUUGAAGUCUUAGUGGCGCAGCUAACGCACUAAGUAGACCGCCUGGGGAGUACGGCCGCAAGGUUAAAACUCAAAUGAAUUGACGGGGGCCCGCACAAGCGGUGGAGCAUGUGGUUUAAUUCGACGCAACGCGAAGAACCUUACCUGGCCUUGACAUGCAGAGAACUUUCCAGAGAUGGAUUGGUGCCUUCGGGAACUCUGACACAGGUGCUGCAUGGCCGUCGUCAGCUCGUGUCGUGAGAUGUUGGGUUAAGUCCCGUAACGAGCGCAACCCCUAUCCCUAGUUGCUAGCAGUUCGGCUGAGAACUCUAGGGAGACUGCCGGUGACAAACCGGAGGAAGGUGGGGAUGACGUCAGGUCAUCAUGGCCCUUACGGCCAGGGCUACACACGUGCUACAAUGGUGCGUACAGAGGGCUGCAAACCCGCGAGGGGGAGCUAAUCUCACAAAACGCAUCGUAGUCCGGAUCAGGGUCUGCAACUCGACUCCGUGAAGUCGGAAUCGCUAGUAAUCGCGAAUCAGAAUGUCGCGGUGAAUACGUUCCCGGGCCUUGUACACACCGCCCGUCACACCAUGGGAGUGGAUUGCACCAGAAGUGGUUAGUCUAACCUUCGGGAGGA
This 622-nucleotide ribosomal RNA is filed under the name uncultured bacterium. RNAcentral's name for it is "bacterial SSU rRNA". It matches the Rfam family "Bacterial small subunit ribosomal RNA", at positions 828 to 1450 of the family's 1533-position model. The record is from RNAcentral.